UACGUAGGGUGCGAGCGUUGUCCGGAAUUAUUGGGCGUAAAGAGCUCGUAGGCGGUCUGUCGCGUCGAUCGUGAAAACUUGGGGCUUAACCCUGAGCUUGCGGUCGAUACGGGCAUGACUGGAGUUCGGCAGGGGAGACUGGAAUUCCUGGUGUAGCGGUGAAAUGCGCAGAUAUCAGGAGGAACACCGGUGGCGAAGGCGGUUCUCUGGGCCUGUACUGACGCUGAGGAACGAAAGCGUGGGGAGCGAACAGG
This 254-nucleotide ribosomal RNA is filed under the name uncultured bacterium. RNAcentral's name for it is "partial 16S ribosomal RNA". It matches the Rfam family "Bacterial small subunit ribosomal RNA", at positions 524 to 776 of the family's 1533-position model. The record is from RNAcentral.